GCCCCUGUGGUGAAAUGGAUAUCACGCUUGGCUUCGGACCAAGCGUUCCGGGUUCAAAUCCUGGCGGGGGCA
This 72-nucleotide transfer RNA is filed under the name bacterium. Its description in RNAcentral is "tRNA-Arg". It matches the Rfam family "tRNA". From Rfam's summary of the family: Transfer RNA (tRNA) molecules are approximately 80 nucleotides in length. Their secondary structure includes four short double-helical elements and three loops (D, anti-codon, and T loops). Further hydrogen bonds mediate the characteristic L-shaped molecular structure. tRNAs have two regions of fundamental functional importance: the anti-codon, which is responsible for specific mRNA codon recognition, and the 3' end, to which the tRNAs corresponding amino acid is attached (by aminoacyl-tRNA synthetases). tRNAs cope with the degeneracy of the genetic code in two manners: having more than one tRNA (with a specific anti-codon) for a particular amino acid; and 'wobble' base-pairing, i.e. permitting non-standard base-pairing at the 3rd anti-codon position. The record is from RNAcentral.